CUUCAGCGAGCCCAGCCACAGCGGCUUGUCCUCCGGCCGCUCCUUGCCGUAGGUGGCGAGCAGCGCCUGCGCCUC
This 75-nucleotide antisense RNA is filed under the name Streptomyces sp. PRh5. RNAcentral's name for it is "ASpks sRNA". It matches the Rfam family "ASpks TB sRNA". The record is from RNAcentral. Lineage: Bacteria; Bacillati; Actinomycetota; Actinomycetes; Kitasatosporales; Streptomycetaceae.